GAAUUCGAUUAACGCGAAGAACCUUACCAAGGCUUGACAUCCUAGGAACCUUUUGGAAACAGAAGGGUGCCUUCGGGAGCCUAGUGACAGGUGUUGCAUGGCCGUCGUCAGCUCGUGUCGUGAGAUGUUGGGUUAAGUCCCGCAACGAGCGCAACCCUUGUCGUCUGUUGUAUUUUUCAGACGAGACUGCCCGAGCCAAUCGGGAGGAAGGUGGGGAUGAUGUCAGGUCAGCAUGACCCUUACGCCUUGGGCCACACACGUGCUACAAUGGCCGGUACAACGCGCUGCCAACCUGCGAAGGGGAGCUAAUCGUAUCAAAACCGGUCCCAGUUCGGAUUGAGGGCUGCAACUCGCCCCCAUGAAGUCGGAAUCGCUAGUAACCGUAGGUCAGCAUACUACGGUGAAUACGUUCCCGGGCCUUGUCACACCGAAUCACUA
RNAcentral lists this ribosomal RNA (438 nucleotides) under uncultured soil bacterium. Its description in RNAcentral is "bacterial SSU rRNA". It matches the Rfam family "Bacterial small subunit ribosomal RNA", at positions 947 to 1384 of the family's 1533-position model. The record is from RNAcentral.